GCGAGAAUAGCUCAGCUGGUAGAGCGCAACCUUGCCAAGGUUGAGGUCGCGGGUUCGAGCCCCGUUUCUCGCU
RNAcentral lists this transfer RNA (73 nucleotides) under Empedobacter falsenii. RNAcentral's name for it is "tRNA-Gly". It matches the Rfam family "tRNA". From Rfam's summary of the family: Transfer RNA (tRNA) molecules are approximately 80 nucleotides in length. Lineage: Bacteria; Pseudomonadati; Bacteroidota; Flavobacteriia; Flavobacteriales; Weeksellaceae. The record is from RNAcentral. RNAcentral also lists the same sequence under 3 other names.